This 378-nucleotide unclassified non-coding RNA is filed under the name uncultured Actinomycetes bacterium. Its description in RNAcentral is "uncultured actinobacterium contains 16S-23S intergenic spacer region". Lineage: Bacteria; Bacillati; Actinomycetota; Actinomycetes. The record is from RNAcentral.
UCCGGUUUGUCACCGGCAGUCUCCCUAGAGUUCCCGGCUUGAGCCGCUGGCAACUAGGGACAAGGGUUGCGCUCGUUGCGGGACUUAACCCAACAUCUCACGACACGAGCUGACGACAGCCAUGCACCACCUGUGAUCGAGUCCCGAAGGAGGGCCGUAUUUCUACGGCUUUCCCGACCAUGUCAAGCCUUGGUAAGGUUCUUCGCGUUGCAUCGAAUUAAUCCACAUGCUCCGCCGCUUGUGCGGGCCCCCGUCAAUUCCCUUGAGUUUUAGCCUUGCGGCCGUACUCCCCAGGCGGGGCGCUUAAUGCGUUAGCUACGGCACGGACAACGUGGAUGUCGCCCACACCUAGCGCCCAACGUUUACAGCGUGGACUAC